Molecule: ribosomal RNA, 437 nt
Filed under: Bacillus subtilis
Lineage: Bacteria; Bacillati; Bacillota; Bacilli; Caryophanales; Bacillaceae
Description: bacterial SSU rRNA
Rfam family: Bacterial small subunit ribosomal RNA
Source: RNAcentral
GGGCGUAAGGGCUCGCAGGCGGUUUCUUAAGUCUGAUGUGAAAGCCCCCGGCUCAACCGGGGAGGGUCAUUGGAAACUGGGAAACUUGAGUGCAGAAGAGGAGAGUGGAAUUCCACGUGUAGCGGUGAAAUGCGUAGAGAUGUGGAGGAACACCAGUGGCGAAGGCGACUCUCUGGUCUGUAACUGACGCUGAGGAGCGAAAGCGUGGGGAGCGAACAGGAUUAGAUACCCUGGUAGUCCACGCCGUAAACGAUGAGUGCUAAGUGUUAGGGGGUUUCCGCCCCUUAGUGCUGCAGCUAACGCAUUACGCACUCCGCCUGGGGAGUACGGUCGCAAGACUGAAACUCAAAGGAAUUGACGGGGGCCCGCACAAGCGGUGGAGCAUGUGGUUUAAUUCGAAGCAACGCGAAGAACCUUACCAGGUCUUGACAUCCUCU